Molecule: long non-coding RNA, 642 nt
Organism: Octodon degus (degu)
Lineage: Eukaryota; Metazoa; Chordata; Mammalia; Rodentia; Octodontidae
Exons: 4
Source: RefSeq, a predicted model, not a curated record
UCCCGCUACCUCUGGUGCUCCGAUCGGCUCUGUGCCAGUGCUGCCAUCAGAUGCUUUGAUUGAGCCACAGUCGGGCCACCCCCGGCGAUGUCCCCGGCUGAUGCCCCAUAUACAGCUGUACAGCGCAGAUGCGUCCCACCGGCUCGUGCACCACGACCCACCCACCCGUCAGAGCGGUCAUCCAGGCCGCAGGCCCAGCGCCGUGUGUGUCCCGGACUCCCCCGGGGUGCAGGAUGCUUGGACGCGACUACACUCAGCAUGCAGCACCGGCCGAUGCGCGCAGCUUCCUGGGUUUUCCCAGUGAGCUUUCCUCUCCUCCGCGGGGCGCUGUUCCUCCAGGAGGGACACGGAAUGGGCUGGGCCUUCAUCCUGACCUAGGGAGAGAAAAGAAGAGACAGAAUCAGUGCUUGGAGAAAAUGCCAAAGAGCGCAGGAGAGUACCCCAGAGCCGCUGUCCUCCGCUGCUGGCAUGUUAGCUCAGCUUGGCUGGGCUCUGGAUGGCUUCCCCACUUCACGAAGUGUGUUAAUUUUAUGAGCACUUGUUUCUGACCCUGCAGAGUGGCAGUGAUUUAAGGCACUGGUGUUGGAAAAAUGUGCCAAUUCCAAGUUGUAAUUUUCUCCCAUCUUAAAAAUAAAUAGUUAG